GACGAACGCUGGCGGCGUGCUUAACACAUGCAAGUCGAACGGAAAGGCCCUGCUUUUGUGGGGUGCUCGAGUGGCGAACGGGUGAGUAACACGUGAGUAACCUGCCCUUGACUUUGGGAUAACUUCAGGAAACUGGGGCUAAUACCGGAUAGGAGCUCCUGCUGCAUGGUGGGGGUUGGAAAGUUUCGGCGGUUGGGGAUGGACUCGCGGCUUAUCAGCUUGUUGGUGAGGUAGUGGCUUACCAAGGCUUUGACGGGUAGCCGGCCUGAGAGGGUGACCGGCCACAUUGGGACUGAGAUACGGCCCAGACUCCUACGGGAGGCAGCAGUGGGGAAUAUUGCACAAUGGGCGGAAGCCUGAUGCAGCAACGCCGCGUGCGUGAUGACGGCCUUCGGGUUGUAAACCGCUUUCGCCUGUGACGAAGCGUGAGUGACGGUAAUGGGUAAAGAAGCACCGGCUAACUACGUG
This 468-nucleotide ribosomal RNA is filed under the name uncultured bacterium. RNAcentral's name for it is "partial 16S ribosomal RNA". It matches the Rfam family "Bacterial small subunit ribosomal RNA", at positions 28 to 507 of the family's 1533-position model. The record is from RNAcentral.